RNAcentral lists this ribosomal RNA (420 nucleotides) under uncultured prokaryote. RNAcentral describes it as "partial 16S ribosomal RNA". The record is from RNAcentral.
CCUACGGGAGGCGCGGUCAAGAAGAAGGAUGUCGUUCGCGCGGUUGUCGUGCGUACGGUAUCCGGCAUUCAGCGUCCGGACGGAAGCUAUAUCCGUUUCGACGACAAUGCCGCCGUCAUUAUCAACGACCAGAAGCAGCCCCGCGGGACCCGUAUCUUUGGGCCCGUGGCGCGUGAACUCCGUGAGAAGGACUACAUGAAAAUCGUGUCCCUCGCACCGGAAGUACUGUAAAGGAGGAGCAUGACAUGAACAGCUUAAACGUCAAAAAAGGCGAUACCGUCGUUGUCAUCUCCGGCAAAGACAAGGGCAAAAAGGGCAAGAUCAUGGUAGCUCAGCCCGAUGACGAGCGCGUGAUCGUGUAGGGCGCCGCAAUGGUGACCCGCCACGUGAAACCCCGCAAGCAAGGCCACCCCAGUAGUC